CUGACGUUAGCGGCGGACGGGUGAGUAACACGUGGGUAACCUACCUAUAAGACUGGGAUAACUCCGGGAAACCGGGGCUAAUACCGGAUAAUACAUGAAACCGCAUGGUUUCAUGAUGAAAGACGGUUUUGCUGUCACUUAUAGAUGGACCCGCGGCGUAUUAGCUAGUUGGUAAGGUAACGGCUUACCAAGGCAACGAUACGUAGCCGACCUGAGAGGGUGAUCGGCCACACUGGAACUGAGACACGGUCCAGACUCCUACGGGAGGCAGCAGCC
Molecule: ribosomal RNA, 276 nt
Filed under: uncultured Staphylococcus sp.
Lineage: Bacteria; Bacillati; Bacillota; Bacilli; Caryophanales; Staphylococcaceae
Description: partial 16S ribosomal RNA
Rfam family: Bacterial small subunit ribosomal RNA
Source: RNAcentral